ACAACUUUCAGCAACGGAUCUCUUGGCUCUCGCAUCGAUGAAGAACGCAGCGAAAUGCGAUAAGUAAUGUGAAUUGCAGAAUUCAGUGAAUCAUCGAAUAUUUGAACGCACCUUGCGCUCCUUGGUAUUCCGAGGAGCAUGCCUGUUUGAGUGUCAUUA
RNAcentral lists this ribosomal RNA (159 nucleotides) under Hebeloma velutipes icg 17. RNAcentral describes it as "5.8S ribosomal RNA". It matches the Rfam family "5.8S ribosomal RNA". From Rfam's summary of the family: 5.8S ribosomal RNA (5.8S rRNA) is a component of the large subunit of the eukaryotic ribosome. The record is from RNAcentral. Lineage: Eukaryota; Fungi; Basidiomycota; Agaricomycetes; Agaricales; Hymenogastraceae.